RNAcentral lists this ribosomal RNA (265 nucleotides) under uncultured prokaryote. RNAcentral describes it as "partial 16S ribosomal RNA". It matches the Rfam family "Bacterial small subunit ribosomal RNA", at positions 524 to 788 of the family's 1533-position model. The record is from RNAcentral.
UACGGAGGAUCCGAGCGUUAUCCGGAUUUAUUGGGUUUAAAGGGUGCGCAGGCGGGAGAUUAAGUCGGCGGUGAAAUUUUGCAGCUCAACUGUAAAAGUGCCUUCGAAACUGGUUUCCUUGAGUGUAGAUGAAGUAGGCGGAAUUUGUGGUGUAGCGGUGAAAUGCAUAGAUAUCACGAGGAACUCCGAUUGCGCAGGCAGCUUACUAAACUACUACUGACGCUCAGGCACGAAGGCGUGAGGAUCAAACAGGAUUAGAUACCCU